This 424-nucleotide ribosomal RNA is filed under the name uncultured bacterium. RNAcentral describes it as "bacterial SSU rRNA". It matches the Rfam family "Bacterial small subunit ribosomal RNA", at positions 335 to 752 of the family's 1533-position model. The record is from RNAcentral.
ACUCCUACGGGAGGCAGCAGUAGGGAAUUUUCCGCAAUGGACGAAAGUCUGACGGAGCAAUGCCGCGUGAGUGAUGAAGGUUUUCGAAUCGUAAAGCUCUGUUGUAAGGAAGAAUAGCAAGAAUAGGAAAUGAUUCUUGUCUGACGGUACCUUACCAGAAAGCCACGGCUAACUACGUGCCAGCAGCCGCGGUAAUACGUAGGUGGCAAGCGUUAUCCGGAAUUAUUGGGCGUAAAGCGCAUGUAGGCGGCUUUUUAAGUCUGAUGUGAAAGCCAGUGGCUCAACCACUGAAUUGCAUUGGAUACUGGAAAGCUAGAAUCUUGGAGAGGUAAGUGGAAUUUCAUGUGUAAGCGGUGGAAUGCGUAGAUAUAUGAAGGAACACCAAUGGCGAAGGCACUUACUGGACAAGUAUUGACGCUGAGAU